Long non-coding RNA from Macrobrachium nipponense, 482 nucleotides. RefSeq lists it as uncharacterized. The transcript has 3 exons. The record is from RefSeq and is a predicted model, not a curated record. NCBI's taxonomy places the organism in Eukaryota, Metazoa, Arthropoda, Malacostraca, Decapoda, Palaemonidae.
GUCGUAGUGCCAGCAAUAUCUCUCCGUUUUACCUCCCGAUAGUGCCUUACCUAAUAGGAAAAAAUAAAAGACAGAAAGUGAGGAAACUUUCGGUAGACGUUGACUCCUCUGGCACUCGUUGGAAAAUUUGUUUACCUCCUUGGCACUCUUUUGGAAAUUAGUUCGUAUUACCCCGCAUCGUCCUGGUCUUGAGUGCCGUUAUGGAACCGUUUUUACUGAACUGAUGCCUCAUGAAGUUCAUAAAAAUCUUGGCGCAGUGUCGUAAAUUAGAUGACGGGCUUGAUUUUUCGGUGAUCUUGUUUUUUUUUUCUCUCUCCUUGUUCAGUAUCUGUCGGGUUUCUUUACAGUAGAAGAGAGCAGCCAAGGGAUGUAGACACAUAAGAUGCCUAUCACUGAGGGCCCCAGCUAAUGGAACUCGAGUGAGUGCAAGUGAAUGAUCAGUGAAAAUCUCGUAUUUGUGUGUCACCCAGUGUCCUACAACC